GGUCUAUAUGGACAGAUGCCUUCAUACAUCAGCCACAAUUCAAUUUGUUAUACAGACCUCAAGAGAUUAUAAAUGUUGUCUUUUGAAUACUUGAAUUUCUUUUAGCUUUGCUUGUCAUCACAUUUGGAGGGGUUCACAUGCUCAAUUUUUAGUUGUAUUUGUUGUGUUUCGUGUACUGUCAGUCUGUUGGUAUUUUUCUUUUUUAACAAUGACGUUGUCAGAUCAUUUUGGUCUUAUGAAUUUGAAUGUCCCUUUUGGUCGAGACCACAAUUAUUUGCGUAGUGCAUUUCUUUUAGAACAUAAAUGAAAAUUAAAAAAAUCCACCUGCGCUUUCUCAAUGAAAUUUUUACAGAGUGU
Molecule: long non-coding RNA, 357 nt
Filed under: Mytilus galloprovincialis (Mediterranean mussel)
Lineage: Eukaryota; Metazoa; Mollusca; Bivalvia; Mytilida; Mytilidae
Source: RNAcentral